UAUCAUAUUUUGUUGCUUGUUUAUCCUUGUUUUAAUUAUUUUGAGGAUUUAUCAUCCUUACAAUACACAUAUUGUCUACCUUGUGAUCUUGGGAGAGGGGGCUGAACAAAGUAGGGUUCUUAUUCUUUUGUGAAAUAAGAAAUUCGAAUUAGUGUCUAGGACAGGGAUGUAGCUAGAAGCCUUACUUGAUUCACAAGCAGGAUGAUAUCUUAAAGAACUUAAUUGGAUUAUUACAUUCCCA
This 241-nucleotide long non-coding RNA is filed under the name Capsicum annuum. RNAcentral's name for it is "long non-coding RNA (CANN_LNC011674)". The record is from RNAcentral. Lineage: Eukaryota; Viridiplantae; Streptophyta; Magnoliopsida; Solanales; Solanaceae.